GCCUGGGUAGCUUAGUUGGUUAAGCAACCGACUUUGGCUCAGGUCAUGAUUUCAGUGUGUGGGUUCGGGCCCCGCAUCGGGCU
This 83-nucleotide transfer RNA is filed under the name Felis catus (domestic cat). It matches the Rfam family "tRNA". From Rfam's summary of the family: Transfer RNA (tRNA) molecules are approximately 80 nucleotides in length. Their secondary structure includes four short double-helical elements and three loops (D, anti-codon, and T loops). Further hydrogen bonds mediate the characteristic L-shaped molecular structure. tRNAs have two regions of fundamental functional importance: the anti-codon, which is responsible for specific mRNA codon recognition, and the 3' end, to which the tRNAs corresponding amino acid is attached (by aminoacyl-tRNA synthetases). tRNAs cope with the degeneracy of the genetic code in two manners: having more than one tRNA (with a specific anti-codon) for a particular amino acid; and 'wobble' base-pairing, i.e. permitting non-standard base-pairing at the 3rd anti-codon position. Lineage: Eukaryota; Metazoa; Chordata; Mammalia; Carnivora; Felidae. The record is from Rfam by way of RNAcentral.